This 793-nucleotide ribosomal RNA is filed under the name Bdelloidea sp. MS-2017. RNAcentral describes it as "SSU rRNA". It matches the Rfam family "Eukaryotic small subunit ribosomal RNA", at positions 412 to 1214 of the family's 1831-position model. Lineage: Eukaryota; Metazoa; Rotifera; Eurotatoria. The record is from RNAcentral.
ACAUCCAAGGAAGGCAGCAGGCGCGCAAAUUACCCACUCUCAAAACGAGGAGGUAGUGAAGAGAAAUAACGAUGUUAGUCUUUUAUAGGCUGACAAUCGGAAUGGGAACACUGUAAACAGGUUAUCGAUUAACAAUUGGAGGGCAAGUCUGGUGCCAGCAGCCGCGGUAAUUCCAGCUCCAAUAAGGAAAACUAAAGUUGCUGUGUUUAAAAAGCUCGUAGUUGAAUUUCGGGUAUUUGUUGCUAGCUGGUCUUACUGGCCAUGUUGGUUAACAGAUCCUCAUUUGCUGGACGGCUGGCGAUGAUCUUUAUCGAUUGUCGUCAGUUGCCAGAACGUUUACUUUGAGAAAAUUAGAGUGCUAAAAGCAGGCUCACGCCUAUAUAUAUUGCAUGGAAUAAUGAAAUAAGAUCUCGAUUUUAUUUCGUUGGUUUUAGAAAUUGAGAUAAUGAUUAAUAGGAUCAGAGGGGGGCGUACGUACUGUGGUGUGAGAGGUGAAAUUCUUGGAUCGCCACAGGACGAACAGCAGCGAAGGCGUUCGCCAAGAAUGUUUUCAUUAAUCAAGAACGAAAGUUUGAGGUUCGAAGACGAUUAGAUACCGUCCUAGUUCAAACCAUAAACGUUGCCAACUGUCUUUUAGAUGCGGUUAUUUACAUGACUCAUCUGGCGGAUCUCGAGAAAUCUAAGUUUUUAGGUUCCGGGGGAAGUAUGGUUGCAAAGCUGAAACUUAAAAGAUUGACGGAAGGACACACAAGAAGUGGAGCCUGUGGCCUAAUUUGACUCAACACGGGAAACC